AGCUCAGUUGGUAGAGCAUGGGACUCUUAAUCCCAGAGUCAGUGGGUUCAAGCCUCAC
This 58-nucleotide transfer RNA is filed under the name Pongo abelii (Sumatran orangutan). It matches the Rfam family "tRNA", at positions 9 to 63 of the family's 71-position model. Rfam says of the family: Transfer RNA (tRNA) molecules are approximately 80 nucleotides in length. Their secondary structure includes four short double-helical elements and three loops (D, anti-codon, and T loops). Further hydrogen bonds mediate the characteristic L-shaped molecular structure. tRNAs have two regions of fundamental functional importance: the anti-codon, which is responsible for specific mRNA codon recognition, and the 3' end, to which the tRNAs corresponding amino acid is attached (by aminoacyl-tRNA synthetases). tRNAs cope with the degeneracy of the genetic code in two manners: having more than one tRNA (with a specific anti-codon) for a particular amino acid; and 'wobble' base-pairing, i.e. permitting non-standard base-pairing at the 3rd anti-codon position. The record is from Rfam by way of RNAcentral. Lineage: Eukaryota; Metazoa; Chordata; Mammalia; Primates; Hominidae.